UCAUGGUCUCUUAGAUCUCAACAAAAUUGACUGUAUAGCAAGAACGAUGAAAUUUCUUUAAUAAACUAGAUUAGGCAAGCAUUCAUUAAUCAAUUUUGGAUUGCUUUUUAUUUAGUUGGGUUAUUUUAUCUGUAGUAAUCAACAUACAAAAUAGUUGAAAAUUUGCUUACCAAAAAAUCAUCGAAUUUACUUGUUACAAUGAUAUAAUGAAAUUGGACUACAGUGAGUGAACAUCGUAUAAUGCUAAAAGAAAAGGC
Schizosaccharomyces pombe (fission yeast) is the source of this 257-nucleotide non-coding RNA. The record is from the annotation of a GenBank genome assembly. NCBI's taxonomy places the organism in Eukaryota, Fungi, Ascomycota, Schizosaccharomycetes, Schizosaccharomycetales, Schizosaccharomycetaceae.